UGGGUAAAUUUCAUUUGACCUAUUUUAUUGGUAAAAUUUACCUAGAAAAUCAGUAAUAUUUACUCAUAUUCUGAACAAACCGACUUUACCCAUAUUUGAGUAAUUUCAUUUACCCAUAUUUGGUUGAAAAAAUAAACAUAAACAAAUCCGGUUUAUGGCUGCCGUGUCGCUGUCGAAAAAAGUUUUCACUCUUUCAACGUGAUUGCGAUUACAAACAAAGAUGUAGUUCGUAAACAAAAGGAAAAUGAGUUCUGACAAUCGGUAGCAGCAGAUUGACCUGCUUGCAAACGGCCUCGUCGAUGGGACAGUAGAUUGCCUGAACAGGAAACAAUUCCCGAAUCAUCGUUAUCGUCCCAUCAUCGUUAAUUCCUGGGAACAUCGGAUUCAACUAUAGUACAUUGUGCUGUCCAACGAUCGUCAUUGCACCUGGUUGAUAUUGAUCUGAUCCGAAGGUCAUCGCAUAGCCACAAAUAAGACGAUCUUUCUACGCCAUCGCUCCCCAUGAUAACCACAAAGGCCAUCGUUUUCCGCCUUCAUUAGUGGGAGGCAUUGAAGCUUUUACCAAUAUCUUCCGUUGUCCGUGCACAAACGACAGCUACUACUAUUCCGGAAAUCUUUUAUAUGAAUUGAAUCGUGAAAUUAUCUUGGUUGACAAGGUGGUGCAAACAUGUGCAGAGCCAUGGUUAAAGUGCUCUUCAAAAUCUACGAGAGUAGCGGACUAACGGUCCUAGGGGCACGGGCCCAUAGAAUGCAGAAACUCGCCAAAUCAACAGCGAUCACUACCGGCCGCCCGCUUUACCGUGUUCACCACCAUACGAAUUAUAUAAAUCUGUUCUGGUUACAUGCUGCAAGCAGGAAUCAACACUUCAUGAUGCCAUUAGGAUAUUUUGAUUGCAGAGGAAUGGCACUUUCAUCGCUUGAACCGGGAAUCGACCACAUUGGAUUGAUCAAUAAGCAUAAAUUCAAGUCCCCGGGAUAGGGAGACAGCGCUGCGAGACCGUAGAUUUUUUUUUGAAUAGGCAAUGAAUUUUCAGAUGGUUGAUGAAUAUUCAAAUAAAUUUGCUAUUGUUUUUCUUCAG
Molecule: long non-coding RNA, 1079 nt
Organism: Armigeres subalbatus
Lineage: Eukaryota; Metazoa; Arthropoda; Insecta; Diptera; Culicidae
Exons: 4
Source: RefSeq, a predicted model, not a curated record